UCACUUUAGCCGAGACAGGCCCUGGGUCCUUGUCAAGGGAUGUUUGAAUUUAAGGCCUCUGGACUGUAAUUUCAGAGAAAUGGGAUAGAUCGUGAUUUCUUUCUUAGAAGCCUGGGGCUGGAGAGCUGCCAUGGUUGUGCUGCUUCCCACCUCCACCUACAGACUUUGGUUUAGGAGUACCUGCCCUGCCACAGGGCUCCAGGCUUAGCCAGCUACAUUGCUCCUGAGAUCUCAGAAAAAGAACGUGUAGGUGAGCCUUCCAGGGUCUGCUCCAGGGUGGAUAGGCAACCACCUAGCAACACUGUGGCCUUUCCCUCAGUGGCCCUGGCCAUCUCAGAGACUACUUUGCCUUUGGCCCCACCCUUCAUGAGGUCACAAUCGGAAGGCUGUGAAAACACAGCCACUGCUUCCACCAGGAUGUGGUUUCAAGAAGGGCUUCCACCUCUGGCCUCAGCCUCCUGAGUGCUGAGAUGAUAGGGUACGUGUGUCCAGAAGCAGGGGCCUCACGUGUAUUGUUUACUGCUUUCUGUGCCCAGAAUAGUGCUUGGCAUGCACUAGGUGAUGGAGGUAAGAAGUUGAUAUCCGGGCUGGAGAGAUAGCUCAUCGGUUAAGAGCACUGACUGCUCUUCCAGAGGUCCUGAGUUCAAAUCCCGGC
Molecule: long non-coding RNA, 655 nt
Organism: Mastomys coucha (southern multimammate mouse)
Lineage: Eukaryota; Metazoa; Chordata; Mammalia; Rodentia; Muridae
Exons: 3
Source: RefSeq, a predicted model, not a curated record